This is a long non-coding RNA of Oryzias javanicus (javanese ricefish), 1925 nucleotides long. NCBI's taxonomy places the organism in Eukaryota, Metazoa, Chordata, Actinopteri, Beloniformes, Adrianichthyidae. The record is from Ensembl.
AAUAUAUCUUUUUGCAAAAAGAUCUGAACAACUAGGUAUAGCAUUCAAUUAUUUUCCAAUUAAUAAGGAUACUUUACUUAUGAUAUUCUAAAGUCUUUCACUGAAGACAUUAAGGGAAACUUGUUAGUGUAGUUGUUAAAUUCCUUAUCCUGUCAGAAAUUACACAUGUAAGUAUGUGCUAACCUGUGCUGAAGGGGACUGGCCUGAUUCAUUACAAAUAAACACUGUGGAAAGUAUGAGCAGGAGGAGCCUCUACAUGGGAUUAAUGGAAGAGCCCUGUAAGAACUACAUCUAUCACCCCUGUGCUCCAGGAGUCUGGGCUCUUGAUCACAGUAGCGGUUUCCAUAAUUAAUUUCUGAUGGUCUUUCAGCUUUUAUCCAUCUGUGGAACUCCAUUUAUUCCUUUUCCAUCUACAGGUCAGAAAAACCCUCCAGCAAAGUUUUACAGCACUUUAACAAACCCAGCAUGACCCUCCAUGCUGGGUGGUGGAAUAUUUGUCGGGAUUUUCUUCCAGAUUUUAGGGGUUUCCUAAUGUUUCAGAACACUGCAGAGAGACCGUCAAGGGCUUUCACUGAAGGUUUUAAACUCAUUCUAGUGGAGGAUUUUUCUCUCAAUAUAUUUCUAUUUACAGUAUAUCUCAAUGUAAAUUAAAAAAAAUUUUUAAUUAAAGUACAACUGACUGGAAUAAAUAUAUAUUCCCCCUAACACAGGUUUCGACAUUUACGGCACCAACAAAGAAAACUAAGAGAUUAUGUCAGUGAGAUGGUGGAUCUGCCAAAGAUGCAGAUGAUCAUGUGUGACCUCAGUGCCAACUGGAAUAACUCUUAUCGGGAGCUGGAGCAGAGGAUCCUCUCCAUGGAGCAAAAGCUAGAUGAGCUAACUCGCUGUUUUCAACAAACUUCUGAGCUGCUGUCGGAUGUCCUUCACCAUCGCAACAGUCCAGAGAUAAGGUAAAACAAACCAAAACUGCUGACGAAGCACAUAGACACACCGCAGGAUGUGGUUGCUGAGCAAAAGUGGAACAUAUCGACUGCUGCAAACUUUUCCUUUUUCUUUCCAGGUGACAUGGUGACAAAUACCAGAAUUAUUUCCUUCUGCAGAUUUAAGGAGUCCCAUCUGGAGGUACUGCCCUCCUCACACGCUAAACCACUCAGGGGACACCCAUCAACUAUCUCAUCCUCUGUGUUGAGCGGCUGCCCUGUCUGUUUUGUUCUACAGUUUUGUGUUUAGCGUUAAUGAUGCAGAAGUGCACAAAGAACCACAUCUCAUGUACUGGAUGGAUUUAUUUUGCAAGUGAAUGAGCGUCGUCCAACCUGCUAACUGUCUGAUGAAUUUGAUGAUUUUUUAUACUGCCCAAUUCCUCUGGAAUAUUUUUAGACAUGUAUAUAUGUUUGCAAUUUCUCUGAAUGAUCAUGAACCUCAUUUAAAAAAGAAUAAUCAACAAUAGAUCAACAAUUUAAGGUAAUUUUUUUUCCGCACACAUUAAAGAAUUAUUUAAUUUUUUUUUUAAAGAUAGUUUGCAAAAUAUGUAGUUUUAUGAACAAUAAAGCAAUUAAACUAAAAUAUAAUGUAAUAAAAAUGUUGUUUUUUUUAUAUUUAUUUAUAAACAGACUGAGACCAAAAUCUUACACUAAAGCACCUUGAAAUGCUCUUGUUUAAGUAGCUCAACUACACCAUCUAGUGGACGGGAAUGGAAACUGUGCUUCAAUGUCAAACAAAUGAAUCUUUUAAUACAUAUGUAUAUAUUUAUCAGCAAGAAUCAAACUCCCAAUCCCUGUGAACAACUGUAUAACUGGACUAAACUUUUCUGGAGAAUAAAGAGAAGAGUUGAAGCCUUUUGAUUCAAUGUAAUGGUGAAAAAGUAUUUGUGUUCAAACCUGUCUUUUUCUGAUCAACAGACACCCUUCAACUCAAAGCAAUCAAGA